This 407-nucleotide long non-coding RNA is filed under the name Ananas comosus (pineapple). Its description in RNAcentral is "long non-coding RNA (ACOM_LNC013614)". Lineage: Eukaryota; Viridiplantae; Streptophyta; Magnoliopsida; Poales; Bromeliaceae. The record is from RNAcentral.
CGAACCACAAAGGAAAGAUUUGAAUUCUCAUGUAUUAAACAUGAAUUCUAGGGUUUGGGAUCCAAACUUCCAUGCAAGUUCCAAAUCUUCACGGUAUAAAACUUCAGACUUCAAAAUUUCAGUUUUAACCCAACUUCAACCAUUCUAAAACACUUUCAAAGAUAUAAAUAUAUAAAUAAAUCACCACUUACACUGUAAAAACUUACCAAAUAUUUUGAACUUAGAGAGAUAGGCCUUCGAAUCUUCAAAUUGGAUCUUCUCACAACGAAUCCCUCAAGACUACAACUCAAUUUCACAAAAUCUGGUAAUUAAAAAUCCGUAACAAUCCAACUUAUAGAAAAAAUUUUAUAAUCAUUUUAUACAUCAAUCUUUGAUAUAAUUAUGUAAUUCUCAAAAUAGUCCCUAAU